Molecule: ribosomal RNA, 253 nt
Filed under: uncultured bacterium
Lineage: Bacteria
Description: partial 16S ribosomal RNA
Rfam family: Bacterial small subunit ribosomal RNA
Source: RNAcentral
UACGUAGGGUGCAAGCGUUAAUCGGAAUUACUGGGCGUAAAGCGUGCGCAGGCGGCUUGCCAAGUCAGAUGUGAAAGCCCCGGGCUCAACCCGGGAACUGCGUUUGAAACUGGCAGGCUAGAGUUUGGCAGAGGGGGGUGGAAUUCCGCGUGUAGCAGUGAAAUGCGUAGAUAUGCGGAGGAACACCGAUGGCGAAGGCAAUCCCCUGGGCCUGUACUGACGCUCAUGCACGAAAGCGUGGGGAGCAAACAGG